RNAcentral lists this ribosomal RNA (465 nucleotides) under uncultured bacterium. Its description in RNAcentral is "partial 16S ribosomal RNA". It matches the Rfam family "Bacterial small subunit ribosomal RNA", at positions 339 to 795 of the family's 1533-position model. The record is from RNAcentral.
CUACGGGUUGCUCCAGUGGGGAAUAUUGGACAAUGGGCGCAAGCCUGAUCCAGCCAUGCCGCGUGUGUGAAGAAGGCCUUUUGGUUGUAAAGCACUUUAAGCGAGGAGGAGGCUUACCUGGUUAAUACCUGGGAUAAGUGGACGUUACUCGCAGAAUAAGCACCGGCUAACUCUGUGCCAGCAGCCGCGGUAAUACAGAGGGUGCGGGCGUUAAUCGGAAUUACUGGGCGUAAAGCGCGCGUAGGCGGUUUGUUAAGUCGGAUGUGAAAUCCCCGGGCUCAACCUGGGAAUUGCAUUGCGAUACUGGCAAGCUAGAGUAUGGGAGAGGAAGGUAGAAUUCCAGGUGUAGCGGUGAAAUGCGUAGAGAUCUGGAGGAAUACCGAUGGCGAAGGCAGCCUUCUGGCCUAAUACUGACGCUGAGGUGCGAAAGCAUGGGGAGCAAACAGGAUUAAUACCCGUGUAGUC